RNAcentral lists this ribosomal RNA (911 nucleotides) under uncultured bacterium. Its description in RNAcentral is "bacterial SSU rRNA". It matches the Rfam family "Bacterial small subunit ribosomal RNA", at positions 33 to 926 of the family's 1533-position model. The record is from RNAcentral.
ACGCUGGCGGCGUGCCUAAUACAUGUAAGUAGAACGCUGAAGAGAGGAGCUUGCUCUUCUUGGAUGAGUUGCGAACGGGUGAGUAACGCGUAGGUAACCUGCCUUGUAGCGGGGGAUAACUAUUGGAAACGAUAGCUAAUACCGCAUAACAAUGGAUGACCCAUGUCAUUUAUUUGAAAGGGGCAAAUGCUCCACUACAAGAUGGACCUGCGUUGUAUUAGCUAGUAGGUGAGGUAACGGCUCACCUAGGCGACGAUACAUAGCCGACCUGAGAGGGUGAUCGGCCACACUGGGACUGAGACACGGCCCAGACUCCUACGGGAGGCAGCAGUAGGGAAUCUUCGGCAAUGGGGGCAACCCUGACCGAGCAACGCCGCGUGAGUGAAGAAGGUUUUCGGAUCGUAAAGCUCUGUUGUAAGUCAAGAACGAGUGUGAGAGUGGAAAGUUCACACUGUGACGGUAGCUUACCAGAAAGGGACGGCUAACUACGUGCCAGCAGCCGCGGUAAUACGUAGGUCCCGAGCGUUGUCCGGAUUUAUUGGGCGUAAAGCGAGCGCAGGCGGUUUGAUAAGUCUGAAGUUAAAGGCUGUGGCUCAACCAUAGUUCGCUUAGGAAACUGUCAAACUUGAGUGCAGAAGGGGAGAGUGGAAUUCCAUGUGUAGCGGUGAAAUGCGUAGAUAUAUGGAGGAACACCGGUGGCGAAAGCGGCUCUCUGGUCUGUAACUGACGCUGAGGCUCGAAAGCGUGGGGAGCGAACAGGAUUAGAUACCCUGGUAGUCCACGCCGUAAACGAUGAGUGCUAGGUGUUGGAUCCUUUCCGGGAUUCAGUGCCGCAGCUAACGCAUUAAGCACUCCGCCUGGGGAGUACGACCGCAAGGUUGAAACUCAAAGGAAUUGACGGGGGCCCGCAC